This 254-nucleotide ribosomal RNA is filed under the name uncultured bacterium. Its description in RNAcentral is "partial 16S ribosomal RNA". It matches the Rfam family "Bacterial small subunit ribosomal RNA", at positions 524 to 776 of the family's 1533-position model. The record is from RNAcentral.
CACGUAGGGGGCAAGCGUUGUCCGGAUUUAUUGGGCGUAAAGAGCUCGUAGGUGGUUCGGUAAGUCGGGUGUUAAACCCCCAGGCUCAACCUGGGGACGCCACUCGAUACUGCUGUGACUAGAGUCCGGUAGGGGAGCGUGGAAUUCCUGGUGUAGCGGUGAAAUGCGCAGAUAUCAGGAGGAACACCGGUGGCGAAGGCGGGUCUCUGGGCCGAUACUGACGCUGAGGAGCGAAAGCAUGGGGAGCGAACAGG